This 897-nucleotide ribosomal RNA is filed under the name uncultured bacterium. Its description in RNAcentral is "bacterial SSU rRNA". It matches the Rfam family "Bacterial small subunit ribosomal RNA", at positions 56 to 940 of the family's 1533-position model. The record is from RNAcentral.
UGCAAGUCGAGCGAGGGUUUGCUCAGUAUUGAGUAUUCUAAGACUAGAAUGUUCAAUUCUGAGCAAAAUCAAGCGGCGGACGGGUGAGUAACGCGUGGGUAACCUGCCCUAUACACAUGGAUAACAUACUGAAAAGUUUACUAAUACAUGAUAAUAUAUAUUUGCGGCAUCGCAAAUAUAUCAAAGUGUUAGCGGUAUAGGAUGGACCCGCGUCUGAUUAGCUAGUUGGUGAGAUAACUGCCCACCAAGGCGACGAUCAGUAGCCGGCCUGAGAGGGUGAUCGGCCACAUUGGAACUGAGACACGGUCCAAACUCCUACGGGAGGCAGCAGUGGGGAAUAUUGCACAAUGGGCGAAAGCCUGAUGCAGCAACGCCGCGUGAACGAUGAAGGUCUUCGGAUCGUAAAGUUCUGUUGCAGGGGAAGAUAAUGACGGUACCCUGUGAGGAAGCCCCGGCUAACUACGUGCCAGCAGCCGCGGUAAUACGUAGGGGGCUAGCGUUAUCCGGAUUUACUGGGCGUAAAGGGUGCGUAGGUGGUCCUUCAAGUCGGUGGUUAAAGGCUACGGCUCAACCGUAGUAAGCCGCCGAAACUGGAGGACUUGAGUGCAGGAGAGGAAAGUGGAAUUCCCAGUGUAGCGGUGAAAUGCGUAGAUAUUGGGAGGAACACCAGUAGCGAAGGCGGCUUUCUGGACUGCAACUGACACUGAGGCACGAAAGCGUGGGUAGCAAACAGGAUUAGAUACCCUGGUAGUCCACGCUGUAAACGAUGAGUACUAGGUGUCGGGGGUUACCCCCCUCGGUGCCGCAGCUAACGCAUUAAGUACUCCGCCUGGGGAGUACGCACGCAAGUGUGAAACUCAAAGGGAUUGACGGGGACCCGCACAAGUAGCGGAGCAU